CUCUGGAUGUAUGUGAUGUUAGUGACCCAUCAAGAUAAUUGUAAAAAUCUGGCUGAGUUUCCAAAAAGGCAGAAAAUAAAGCGAGUUCUUCAAACAAUAUUCACAGAUGAAAAUCUUAUGGAUCUGCAAUGUUAAUUUCAAAGGAUACUGCCAUUUUCUCCAUUUCUACAAGAUUCUCCGUGGGGUUUGAAACGUACCGCUGGGAACGAGUCACUGGGGGUAGGGGGGGUUGAGCAGCACCUGUCCAGAGGGCAGCGAACACGCAAACUUGGGGAAGUCACAACACGUGUCCUGAUGAAACCCUAGAUGGUCCCUGCCCUGGUCUCACCAUCCUGCCCAGGGAUAGUCCCUCAGGUGCCGGUCUGGAGACUCAGCAGGAGCCAAGCUGAACUGAUGACCAGGUGCCUUAGAUACAACAUCCCAGAUGAUCCUUCUGUUUAAAAAUGAUCAAAUACACCUCUUU
This is a long non-coding RNA of Mustela lutreola (European mink), 463 nucleotides long. RefSeq lists it as uncharacterized. The record is from RefSeq and is a predicted model, not a curated record. The transcript is spliced from 3 exons. Lineage: Eukaryota; Metazoa; Chordata; Mammalia; Carnivora; Mustelidae.